Molecule: ribosomal RNA, 254 nt
Filed under: uncultured bacterium
Lineage: Bacteria
Description: partial 16S ribosomal RNA
Rfam family: Bacterial small subunit ribosomal RNA
Source: RNAcentral
UACGAAGGGGGCUAGCGUUGCUCGGAAUUACUGGGCGUAAAGGGCGCGUAGGCGGACAGUUUAGUCAGAGGCUGAAAGCCCAGGGCUCAACCUUGGAACUGCCUUUGAUACUGGCUGUCUUGAGUUCGGGAGAGGUGAGUGGAAUGCCGAGUGUAGAGGUGAAAUUCGUAGAUAUUCGGCGGAACACCAGUGGCGAAGGCGACUCACUGGCCCGAUACUGACGCUGAGGCGCGAAAGCGUGGGGAGCAAACAGG